UUCUCAUCAAUCUACGUAUAAAUAACACGACUUUUACACUUUCUAGUUGCGUGUAAUGCAUACGCCAAAUGCCAAUUUUGCGUGCAUAUGAUACGCCAAUCCUUCACAUUAAUUUCGGUGGAGAGCAGAUGCGUCCAAAUAACACGCAUCAUGUUCAGCGGCAGUGACGUCACUAGCGAGGCUCGUCUAAUUCACCUGAUGCGCGUACACCUUCAAACAGGUAAGCAAGGUUACGUCGGAUUACAUACUCCACAACAACCUGUAAUCCAGCAGCUCUUUAAAGAAGCCAUCUCUUGUAAAAUCUCUCUCUCUCUCUCUCUCUCUCUCUCUCUCUCUGCUAGAAUUAACAGGGAACUUCAACUCGCUGAUUUUGAAGAAGCUGUCAAGGGGGCUGAACAAGUCCUUCAAAGGUUCAACCCUUCACAGGAAGGCCUGUCAUGAGAUUUGAAUUUGACCAUCUUGUGCAUUUAUGAAGACGACCAAAAGCUGCAAAGGCAAACACUUCCAAUGGUACAAACUGAGAGUUUGCAUGAUGGCAUUUUCUCAGACGCUGAAUCUGAUGUGUACAGAUGAACUCAGGAGUCUGCUAGAGUUGCCAGGGAACUUGAGCUUGAACUGAAGACCAGAAACGCAAAGAAAAUCAGUCAAACCAGUCCUAAAAAAAUGAGGAAUGAACAUGGACUUCUUGGGCCCAAAAGAAAAGACAGAAAGCUCCUAGAAUGAGCAAAUCAUCUGUGCAUCAUCUCUGUGAUUUGGGAAGGAAAUGACUGAAUAUGAUGAAGCCAGUUGAUGAAGAUAUCAAUUGAAUGGCCACCGAGUGCAGCACUGCUACCUGAACCCAUCAGUUAUCUGCUGUGAAGACUGCAUUCACAAACCGCUCUACUGCGACAGCUCAGAUGUUACGGCCCGUAAAAGUAAACAUCACAGCUAAACAAUGAGAGCUAGUUGUGGGGGGAUUCUUUUGGCCCAUAUCUCCAACAAGAAUCAAUGACAUUUACACCAGGUGGAGAGUGAGGAGGACCGUCAGAGACUCCAGCCACCCGAGCCAUGGAUUGCUCUCACCCUUACCAUCAGGCAGACGUUAUCACAGAACCUACACCAGCAGACAGUGAGACAAGUUCCUUUCACAGGCAAUCAGACUGAACUGAACUCAUACCAGUAAAACCAUACACAUCCCACCAACCUCAUAUGCCCUGCACUCUUAUCAGUUACGCUGACUGGACUCAAUAUUAUUAUGCACCCUGACAUUCUGUUUGCACUAAUUCAUACCGUGCUGCACUGCAGAGAUGUAUGUGUACUGUGAUUAUUAUUGUCUUCAAUUCAUGCUCUCUGUAUAGCAUAAUUUUCUCUACAUGUAUUGAGUCCCUUAUAUAUGUGUGUUGCAUAUAUAUUCAGAAUUUGUAUUUCAUAUAUAUUCAUUAAUUCAUUCAUGUGUCAUCCAUACUGUCAUGCUGCAGUCUGCACCCACGACUUUCACCACCUGUAUACUU
Long non-coding RNA from Carassius carassius (crucian carp), 1490 nucleotides. RefSeq lists it as uncharacterized. The transcript is spliced from 8 exons. Lineage: Eukaryota; Metazoa; Chordata; Actinopteri; Cypriniformes; Cyprinidae. The record is from RefSeq and is a predicted model, not a curated record.